AUUAAGUAGAGGGACCUAGAUAGGAAUCAAGGGCAACAGUGUUGCACGUUUGUUCAGAGCCUCUUAAAGCUCCACAAGAAGACAUCUGGAAGGCUUUCAGUCUCACCUCAGUCCCUUUCCAGUUAAUCCAGGCCCCUGUUCCCCACUGGCCCUCCUCACUUUGGGGGUGGAAAGGAUGCAUUUUAUGCAUCUGUCCCUCCUUAUUUUCACUUUAGCAAUUCCUCCCACCCUCCCCUUUUCUUCCUUCUACUCUACCUUCAGAACUAAUGACUGAAUGUGUCCAGGGCAGACCUCAGCUGGUUAACUGCUCACACUUAUCUGUGCGCAAAGCCCGCUGCCAGGCUGUCAAGAAGAGAGCUGUGGAGGCAGUAGAGAUUGCCUGUUAAUGAAGUGAUUGUGGGAGCUGGCAGUCUCUAGCCAGCAGAACACAGGCUGUAGCUGCUAACCCCUGAAACACAGCAUUAAGGACUAUCCUGUCAGCAAAUUCAUGAAUGUGAAGUUAACUCAGUGACCAUGGACUUUUAAUUUACUUGGUCCUGAUUGUUUUUGUCCUUAAGUUUUAAAUGAAACAUACCUUAAAAUCCAUGUAAGAUACCUCUAAAAACUUGAAGCAACCAGAGACUCUACCUGGUGGGACACUUGUGAUUCUACAUUUCACAGGGGGAACACUUGGAAACCUCACAUUCCUAGUAAGUGGACGACAUAACAGCUUUGUAACUGAGAGAGACCCAUCUCCAAGCCCAUCAAAAGAUUCUAAACAGCUACAAGUCUAACAAAGGUAGGCAGUAAAUAAAAAUAAUUCUUUACAAUAAAAAGAACCGUUUGGUGAAAGUGGAUGAGUGGUUUAUGUAGCUGAAACUUGCUUCUUAAAUUUGAAAACAGUCAUGCAUUAGGAUGGAUGGUAUUCAUGGAGAUAUUCUCUGUAGUAUCUUUGUAGUAAAUCAAAAAUGGAAACGUGAUUGAACUGCUAAUGUGAUCACAAGAUAUAGAAAACAGAUUUGGUGUAUCUAGAUUUUCUGUUUUUCUUAUAUUGUUUUCCUCUUUUAUAAAUUAUCUGUACUGUUUUGCAACAAUUUUUCUUAUCUCUGAGUUUUAUUGGCUUUGAGUAUUAUGUUUUCUUUCUAAUUAAAAAGUCUAUAAUGAGGGAAAUUUUUAGUUAUGAGUCAUUGUAGCCAGUAGCCAAGAAAAUAUAUGUAUUCAUAUACUUAAACAAAUAAAUUAAUUGUGUAGGAUGUUUUGCAAUGUCAUUAUUUGUAUUUACCUUUUAUGGCUUAGAAAUUAUUUUCAAUGCAACAUUUUCAGAGGAAAUGAAAUUCACCUUUUUCUUUGGUUAAUUACCAUUUGACUAUUAUUUGGGGAAAAAAAGUAAUCUUUUUUUAAAGUACUAUGGUGAAAGCUCUCUAGCUUAUAUUUUUUAGCAAAAUUACUAACAAUUUCCCUUUUUAACUCUUUCCUCAGAAGAGUAGCACUUCAUGAAUAGAAAAAAAUGCAUCUAUGUGAGUUAUCCAAAAGUCAUACAAUAGUUGUUUGGAUUUAUCAUGAUGGUGGUGAUUUGGCAAAAAUAUUUACCCACUUAAUUGCACAUAAUAUAAUUGAUUUCUGUUAGCCUAUAGGGAAAUAUCAAAAAUAUAUGCACAGUGGGACUAGUGUGCUUUCUUGGUGUUAACAGUUUUGGAGAAUGUGCAAAGUAAAUACACAUCAGAAGUAAGUAUACAAAGAGUUCAUUUCCUAGAAAGUAUUUUGGUUUAGUCAUUUUUAACAUGUAGUUUUAAAGAUUAUGUUAUGAAAAUUAUCAGAAUGAUAACAGUCUUAUUUAGUGAGAAUCACCAAUUUUCAUGUUAAAAAAAUUUCGGACCACCUAAAUAAUCUUACUUCCCAAGCCUGGCUCACUUCGACUAUUGAGAACACAGUCUUUUAUUUGCCCAAGAAUGCAAACAGAUUUUGUUGUAUACAGUGAAUUCAAAAUGGACUUUAAAGUAUUACAUACCAGAAAUUAAACAAAUUGCUUCUUAAACUUGAGAACAGUCUUGUAUUAGGAUGGAUGGUGUUCAUAGAGAUAUUUUAUUCUCUGUAGAACCUUUGUAUUAAGUAAAAAAUGGAGACAUAUGAUUAAAUUGGUCAUGUGAUCACAAUUAAGAUAGAGAAAACAUUUGAUAUAUCUAAAUUUCCUGUAUUUUUAAUGCUCCAUUUUCCUCUUAUAAUUGUACUGGUUUGUUUUUUUUUUCAUUUUUAGUAUCAGAAUACAAUCUUUGUAUAGAGUGGGUUUCAUCAAGCAAUAAAACAUUUAAUCAUAAAUAAUAAUGACUAUUGUAGAGAAGUGAGUGAAUCUUAUAAUUGCUGUCAGUAUCAAUGCCAUUGGAACUUCAUUCCCUUAAUCAAGUUUGUGAAAUAGGUAUUUUCUUGGCUAUUCUUUAUGUUCAUUUUAGAGUAAAAAUGAAAUCUCUAUAAUUUGCU
Molecule: long non-coding RNA, 2454 nt
Filed under: Bos taurus (domestic cattle)
Lineage: Eukaryota; Metazoa; Chordata; Mammalia; Artiodactyla; Bovidae
Description: long non-coding RNA NONBTAT001259
Source: RNAcentral